Amyelois transitella is the source of this 437-nucleotide long non-coding RNA. RefSeq lists it as uncharacterized. The transcript is spliced from 3 exons. The record is from RefSeq and is a predicted model, not a curated record. Lineage: Eukaryota; Metazoa; Arthropoda; Insecta; Lepidoptera; Pyralidae.
CUUAUGCCAAAGCAAAAAUAGGCCGAAUUUAACCUUUCACCGUUUACCAAGGAACGAAUCUCGGCGAAGGGAAUGGCUACAAAUAAUUGGCAUAGAAAAUAUCCGGCCGGGAACAAAAGACAUCUACCUAUGUGUGCUCAAUGCACUUUGAAGAGAGUGCAUUCAAUAAAACUUUAAAUAUAGUUAGAUGGAGAGAUGAUGCUAUCCCAACAAUAUUUGCAAAGGCAGACCAUCCAUCCCCAUCUGCAUUAAUGGACAUUACAACUACCACUGAUCAACCACCAAACACCAUUGAUCAACCAUCAUGCUCAAGUAAUCCUCCACGAUAAUGUUUAUAUUUUAAGAUUUUAUAAAAAUAGAAUUGCUACUUUGUUAGCAAACAACAUAAAAGAACUGACGGGUUUACAUUGUGGUAAACGAUUCUUUACAUUUCUUUA